GAAGCCCACCGGGUAAGGUUAACCAGCCGCCCGUAGUCAGCCUUGGAGCGUAGCGGGUAACUGCUGCGUUUAAGCGUAGGCAGACAAGAUAGCAGGCCGAAAGCCGGAAGGUUGAAGUGAUUGAGCCACGAAAUACUAAAUAGGAAGGCUAAUGCCGUUGCCUGUGCAGAAAGCAAUAUUGUGACAGUCGUUAUGGUAAGAAUGUCGCAACUUCCUCGGGGUCGGAGAGCU
This is a non-coding RNA of Clostridiales bacterium GWB2_37_7, 231 nucleotides long. The record is from Rfam. NCBI's taxonomy places the organism in Bacteria, Bacillati, Bacillota, Clostridia, Eubacteriales.